RNAcentral lists this long non-coding RNA (339 nucleotides) under Anas platyrhynchos platyrhynchos (common mallard). RNAcentral describes it as "lncRNA (ENSAPLG00000021458.1)". The record is from RNAcentral. Lineage: Eukaryota; Metazoa; Chordata; Aves; Anseriformes; Anatidae.
GAUAUCAGUUCACCAGAUGGCCGGAGCUGCUACUGAAAAAGUGCAGAUCCACAUAAGUGUAAUGUUUUAUGGAUGAGCUAUCUGAGCAAGAACUACAGCAAGGCCUGAUCCAGUUGCAAGGCAGAAAUGUUACAUCUACAGUGUCUUUUAAAAAGAGAAAUUUAAUUGCAUAAGACCCAACAGUUAGAAAUGGUAAUGGAAAGAGUCAGUCAAGAAUUUGUUUUGGAGGAGCAACUUCAAAAUUGUGGAACACGUGGGGAAGUAGGUAUCCUUGAUAUUUCAAGAGUAGUAAUGCUGAAGUUGUUUCUUGAGCCACAAUCUAUCAGAAGAAAAAGGUAA